Molecule: ribosomal RNA, 400 nt
Filed under: phytoplankton environmental sample
Lineage: Eukaryota
Description: partial small subunit ribosomal RNA
Rfam family: Eukaryotic small subunit ribosomal RNA
Source: RNAcentral
AGCUCCAAUAGCGUAUAUUAAUGUUGUUGCAGUUAAAAAGCUCGUAGUUGGAUUCCUCGUUGGGCGCGGCCGGUCCGCCUCGCAAGAGGUGCGUACUGUGCCGUGUCUGCGAUUUUUGGUGAGAACGGUCCUGGCAUUCAGUUGUCGGGGUCGGGAUCGCCGACGUUUACUGUGAAAAAAUCAGAGUGUUCAACGCAGGCUUAUGCCCGAAUACAUUAGCAUGGAAUAAUAAGAUAGGACCUUGGCGGUCUAUUUUGUUGGUUUGCACGCCGAGGUAAUGAUUAACAGGGACGGUUGGGGUUCUUCGUAUUCAAUUGUCAGAGGUGAAAUUCUUGGAUUUAUGGAAGACGAACUGCUGCGAAAGCGUCGAACAAGGACGUUCUCAUUAAUCAAGAACGAA